This 2480-nucleotide long non-coding RNA is filed under the name Pelobates cultripes (western spadefoot toad). Lineage: Eukaryota; Metazoa; Chordata; Amphibia; Anura; Pelobatidae. The record is from RNAcentral.
CUCCGAUUGUCCUGGAACUCGUCUGCCAUAUUAACCGCUUCCUGCAGGGUGUGUGGCUUUCUGUCCCGAAUCCAGUUUUGCAGAUAGGCAGGGACGCCAUUGAAGAAUUGCUCCAGUACCAUUAGCUGGAACAGACCCUCCAAUGUAUCAACUUGGGCGGCCUCCAGCCACCCCUUUGCAGCUCGUUGCAGCUGGUGCGCCCAUUCCACAUGGGUGUCUUUAGUGGGUUUCUUAAUGUCCCGAAACUUCCUUCGGUACGCCUCUGAUGUGAUGGCAUACCGGGCUAGAAUGGCCCGUUUCACUUUAUUGUAGUUCCUACUAUCCUCGUCUGGUACUGCCCGGUACGCUUCAGCGGCUCGCCCAGAUAAUCUCCCUGCUAGUAGUGGUACUCGGUCUGCAUCGUUAAUCUCAUGCAGCAAACACAGUCUCUCAAAGUCCUGUAAAUAGUCGUCAACGCCACCGUCCGCCUCCACAUAGCUUUUAAAGGCUUGAUAUGGGAUUUUGGCUUUCCCUGGGAAAAUAUUGACUGGCGUUGCGGCUCUUUCUCCGGCUUGCUGGUUCCCAUGCGUUCUUCUGGCCAUGAUGUACUCCUGUACAUCACCGAAAAGCCUGUCAACCAUCUCUGCAGAUGGGGGUGUAGGAAAUAAAGCCAUUCGUGCUCGGAAUUCGGCUGUAAAUUCGUGGGUUUCCCCCUCCAUUUGAGGUGCUGCAGCAGCUGCGGCUCUGUCUCCUUCAAUGAGCUCUGUAAUUAGGACAGCCUUUGCCUUGUUACUGGCGAUUGCUCCUCUUGCUUCCAGCAGCUCCUUUAAUGUGCUCCGUUUUAGCAGGGCGUAAUUUGUUCCCAUUCACCGGCUGUUCGUGAGGAUUAUUCGAAUGAGCUAAUUCCCGAAUGGCUGCUCCUUGAUUUGCUUUAAAAUCUGCCGAACGUUGCUUUGCUGUGUUAAUUCGAAUCCCACCGCUGUCACCAAUUGUAGCGGAGAGGCAGUAUAAUCCACAAUAUCUCCGCUGGGUAACAGGAACAACAAAGGAUAAUCCAGGGAAUCAGCAUACAAUAAUCCAAACAGCACUGCAGUAACCCUUCCUUCCCAAGAACUAGACGACACAUAGGCUGGGAGUCAACUGAAGUCCCCUCCCAGGGGCAUUCCCAGAGGGGACUACAUGGGGGACUUACAGUACAGGGCAUUUAUCCCAUCAGGCACUGCUGCACGAGAGGGAUCCUCCCACUGGAAUAUACCGUUAAGUGGAUUAUCCCUGCUUGCAGCAAAACUCACAAUUCACCUUAAAUUCAAUAACUCUAUGAAUAUCUGGUUCACUUAAACAAAUGGACGUUCGGUAGAUAGCUGGGGUCUGAGCGCAUCAUUCGUGAGAUUACCGCUCAGAUCCCAGCUAAAACAACCGAACACCGCACGAAAAACACAUUCACUAACACAUAGCCUUAAAAUACUGUUUACAUAUAGUGAAACAAAAUACCGAAUGUCCCGGACCUCCCGAACGGUCUGGAGGCCCAGCGGUGUUCGCGCCGUCGAGUAGCCGUUUUUAGUUCCACGCGCUCGAUGACCAAACACCGCUGAGGGAACAAAGGAUCCAAGAUGGCCGCCCGCCGCAUGGUCGGUAGUCGAACGACGGCCACCCAGGAGAGCCUCUAAUUACCGAUUGCAACAUUGUUGCAAUCGGUUAAUAGGCGCCACACGCCUCUAAGUGUGUGGGCUAUUAAAUGAUAUGUUGUUAGGUUCCCGAACGGCCCGCAAAGGUGCCGUUCGUGAAACGAAAGGAAUCCGCUAUCUGCGUUCGGCAGAUAGCCCAGGCAGGCAAUACAUUAUUAACAUUGCAUUACAUUACACGCUAUAACACACAAUAGGAACCCCAUACCGGCAACCCUUAAAGGGACAGUACAAAAUAAUGUCCAAGUGGCUAGGUUUGCCACACAAGUUAUCCAAUCACAAGUUAUCUGCAGGGUUUUUGCAGCAAUCUCUUGCUAUAGGAUCCUCAUUAAUAUAUACUGAAGAAAAAUUGUUCUUUCAAAUGUCUGCCUUUUCCUGGUGUUGCUUAAUUAACAAACCCAUCUCUGUUUCGAGUGUACCUACACUUUCAUUUUUUUUUGUUGUUGUACUUGAAAAACCUUUUUGGGGUUGGUUUUGCAUUCUUUGGCUAUCAAUUUCUCAUUUUCUAGUUUAGCCACUUUAAUUGCCUUUUUGCAAGCGUUAUUGGCUUCCUUAUAUCUUAUAUAAGACGCAUCUGAUUUGUCCGAUUUAAAUGCUUUAAAUGCCCUUUUCUUAUUUUUAAUCUCUUGUUUUACUUCUCUACUAAGCCACAUUGGUUUUAAUUUGUUUCUUUUAUAUUUAUUACCCAAUGGUACAUACUGAGAAAUGUACCUUUCUAAUUUUUGUUUGAAUAGUUUCCAUUUAUCCUCAGUGUUUUUAUCACUAAGGAGUUUGCCAGUCGAUAUGUUGUAGAGCUGCCCUAAUCUUAUUGAAAUUGGC